AGCUAGUUGGUAGGGUAACGGCCUACCAAGGCAACGACGGGUACCGGGCCUUAGAGGGUGAUCGGCCGCACUGGGACUGAGACACUGCCCAGACUCCUACGGGAGGCUGCAGUCGAGAAUCUUCCGCAAUGGGCGAAAGCCUGACGGAGCGACGCCGCGUGAGGGACGAAGGCCUUCGGGUUGUAAACCUCUUUCGUAGAGGAGGAAGGGGCUGUGAAGAGCAGUCCUUGACCGUAUUCUAGGAAGAAGCUUGGGCUAAGUUCGUGCCAGCAGCCGCGGUAAGACGAACCAAGCGAACGUUAUUCGGAAUUACUGGGCUUAAAGCGCGUGUAGGCGGAUGGCCACGUCGGUUGUGAAAUCCCCCGGCUUAACCGGGGAACAGGCACCGAUACGAGUUAUCUGGAGGUGGGUAGGGGAGACUGGAACUUCCGGUGGAGCGGUGAAAUGCGUUGAGAUCGGAAGGAACGCCUGCGGCGAAAGCGAGUCUCUGGCCCCAUACUGACGCUGAGACGCGAAAGCCAGGGGAGCAAACGGGAUUAGAUACCCCGGUAGUCCUGGCUGUAAACAUUGGGCACUGGGUAGUAGAACCGCCGA
RNAcentral lists this ribosomal RNA (594 nucleotides) under uncultured bacterium. RNAcentral describes it as "bacterial SSU rRNA". It matches the Rfam family "Bacterial small subunit ribosomal RNA", at positions 243 to 835 of the family's 1533-position model. The record is from RNAcentral.